This 285-nucleotide long non-coding RNA is filed under the name Elaeis guineensis (African oil palm). RNAcentral's name for it is "long non-coding RNA (EGUI_LNC022864)". The record is from RNAcentral. Lineage: Eukaryota; Viridiplantae; Streptophyta; Magnoliopsida; Arecales; Arecaceae.
AUGAUCAAAUUGACCUCUCUAGAGUGCUAGCUCCUUGCAGAGAUCCUUGAAGGCUGAUCAAUAGAGGAGGAAAGAAUUGAUAGAAAAAGGCAAGGGAGAACUCCUUCUCGCUUGAUUUUUCUAUCAUCCAAAUCCCUAAGAAGGAACCCAAAGACCCCACGCCCUUUGAGAGGAGACCCCUCUCCUCUUUUUCUCACUAUAUUGGGGCAUCCAACUAUUGGACCCCUUAUACAGGGAAGAGGGAAUUAGGGCUUAGAAGGAGGCCCACUUAAUAAAACCCACGCC